UCCUUGACCGGACCUAAGCCAAGGUGAAUCC
RNAcentral lists this non-coding RNA (31 nucleotides) under Mus musculus (house mouse). The record is from RNAcentral. Lineage: Eukaryota; Metazoa; Chordata; Mammalia; Rodentia; Muridae.